UGGGCAACCUGCCCCCGACCCUGGGAUAACCCCGGGAAACCGGAGCUAAUACCGGAUACUCUCCUCUGACCACCUGGUCGGAUGAGGAAAGGUCCGCCGGUCGGGGAUGGGCCCGCGGCCUAUCAGCUUGUUGGUGGGGUAACGGCCUACCAAGGCAUCGACGGGUAGCUGGUCUGAGAGGACGACCAGCCACACUGGGACUGAGACACGGCCCAGACUCCGUACGGGGGCA
This 232-nucleotide ribosomal RNA is filed under the name uncultured bacterium. RNAcentral's name for it is "partial 16S ribosomal RNA". It matches the Rfam family "Bacterial small subunit ribosomal RNA", at positions 118 to 350 of the family's 1533-position model. The record is from RNAcentral.